UAGGGAAUCUUCCACAAUGGGCGAAAGCCUGAUGGAGCAACGCCGCGUGAGUGAGGAAGGCUUUCGGGUCGUAAAGCUCUGUUGCCAGGGAAGAAUAAGGAUAUGUUAACUGCAUAUUCGAUGACGGUACCUGAGAAGAAAGCCCCGGCUAACUACGUGCCAGCAGCCGCGGUAAUACGUAGGGGGCAAGCGUUGUCCGGAUUUAUUGGGCGUAAAGCGCGCGCAGGCGGUUCUUUAAGUCUGGUGUCUAAGUGCGGGGCUCAACCCCGUGAUGCACUGGAAACUGGGGAACUUGAGUGCAGAAGAGGAGAGCGGAAUUCCACGUGUAGCGGUGAAAUGCGUAGAGAUGUGGAGGAACACCAGUGGCGAAGGCGGCUCUCUGGACUGUAACUGACGCUGAGGCGCGAAAGCGUGGGGAGCAAACA
This 425-nucleotide ribosomal RNA is filed under the name uncultured Cohnella sp. RNAcentral's name for it is "bacterial SSU rRNA". It matches the Rfam family "Bacterial small subunit ribosomal RNA", at positions 355 to 774 of the family's 1533-position model. The record is from RNAcentral. Lineage: Bacteria; Bacillati; Bacillota; Bacilli; Caryophanales; Paenibacillaceae.